UGAUUUUCAAGUUGAUAAUGUUGUAUGGCCCACGGAUGAUGUGAUAAAUAUCCGAAUGGCCCUGGGCAGAAGAAAGGUUCCCCACCCCUGGUUUAGGGUCUUG
Molecule: long non-coding RNA, 103 nt
Organism: Myotis davidii
Lineage: Eukaryota; Metazoa; Chordata; Mammalia; Chiroptera; Vespertilionidae
Exons: 3
Source: RefSeq, a predicted model, not a curated record